UACGUAGGGCGCGAGCGUUGUCCGGAAUUAUUGGGCGUAAAGAGCUCGUAGGCGGCCUGUUGCGUCUGCUGUGAAAUCCCGGGGCUCAACCCCGGGCGUGCAGUGGAUACGGGCGGGCUAGAGGCAGGCAGGGGAGAACGGAAUUCCCGGUGUAGCGGUGAAAUGCGCAGAUAUCGGGAGGAACACCGGUGGCGAAGGCGGUUCUCUGGGCCUGUUCUUGACGCUGAGGCGCGAAAGCUAGGGGAGCAAACGGG
Molecule: ribosomal RNA, 254 nt
Filed under: uncultured bacterium
Lineage: Bacteria
Description: partial 16S ribosomal RNA
Rfam family: Bacterial small subunit ribosomal RNA
Source: RNAcentral